AUUGAACGCUGGCGGCAUGCCUUACACAUGCAAGUCGAGCGGCAGCACGGGAGCAAUCCUGGUGGCGAGUGGCGAACGGGUGAGUAAAGUAUCGGAACGUGCCCAGUCGUGGGGGAUAACGUAGCGAAAGUUACGCUAAUACCGCAUACGAUCUAUGGAUGAAAGCGGGGGAUCGCAAGACCUCGCGCGAUUGGAGCGGCCGAUAUCAGAUUAGGUAGUUGGUGGGGUAAAGGCUCACCAAGCCGACGAUCUGUAGCUGGUCUGAGAGGACGACCAGCAACAAUGGGACUGAGACACGGCCACGACUCCUACGGGAGGAGGCAGUGGGGAAGUUUGGACAAUGGACGAAAGCCUGAUCCAGCCAUGCCGCGUGCAGGAUGAAGGCCUUCGGGUUGUAAACGGCUUUUGUACGGAACGAAAAGGUUUGGGCUAAUAAGCUGAGCUCAUGACGGUACCGUAAGAAUAGGCACCGGCUAACUACGUGCCAGCCGCCGCGGUAA
RNAcentral lists this ribosomal RNA (500 nucleotides) under uncultured bacterium. RNAcentral's name for it is "partial 16S ribosomal RNA". It matches the Rfam family "Bacterial small subunit ribosomal RNA", at positions 29 to 523 of the family's 1533-position model. The record is from RNAcentral.